UAUCUUCACGAUUAAGGAUCCCCGUGUCAUGCCCUAAACAUUAAAUUUUAAAUUGGAAACUGUUUUUGCGUCUGAUAAAUUAUUUCUGUAAAGAAAAAACAUUCCUUGCGGGACUUAUGUUAAACAUUAAUUACGAUGUUAGAAACAGAAUAUAAUCGACAAUGUUUUGAUACUGAAAACGCUAGGGGAUCCGACAGGGAUUCGGACCCUGGUCCUCCGAUUUUGAUAAUGCAAUCCCAACCAACUGAGUUGUUUUCCUGGUCCGAUUAUCAAGAACGAAAUUAAGGGGAGGUUACUGAGUAUAACAUCUGUCUGAGGUUUGAAAAGAAUCCCUAAGAUUAACAUAAUUGCUUUUGUUUUCUCAAAUUCACUAACGAAUUCACAACUACCGCUUUAACUUAUAUGUCGCCAAGUCAAGUCAAAGUAUGCAGGCAUUAAUUAAAAAAAUACUACACUUCUUGGAGCUUUUUAUACGUUUUGUACUCACUUGCCUUUCUUGAUUUAUCGACAAUCAUUGUUUGCUUUAAUGAACCUCUGGGGUUUCAAGGUACUAGACCCAUGUCUUAUCCCCUGUAAGUAACUUUUGACAGCUUUCUUGAUACUCUAAUACCUCACUUUUUCAAUAUACUAUCUUUUAUUUUCUGUCGGACAUGACAAAUCGGUAUUCCGUAAAACAUAUUUAAAAUAAUAAUGAAAAACACACACACACUCCAUUUUCGCUUGACACAAAACUAAAAAAAAAACAGCUUUCUUUUUGAUAUCCCCCUUUUUAUGGAAUUAAGAUGGGAAUAGGAUGAAAAAAAGCGAAAUCUACAGAUUGGUUUAAGGAGUUCUGUUAAUGUUGGUUGUAAUGAAACAGUACUAACCCUUAUUUCAGAAGAACUUUUAAACAGGAUUUAUUCAAAAAUAUGUGAUUGUAUAGCUUUUUAAUUUUGUGUUUCAUUCUGUCUUACAGAUUUUGAUUUCGAUUUUACAAAACAUGUCCAAAACAAUUUUGAUAAAGCAUCAAAAUUCACGUGCUGUAAUGUACCAGACAUAAAGGCAGUUUUAGCACAGUUUAACUACCUCCUGUCGUCUUAUUUGAUGUAUAAUUGAUAUCGAUGUUUUGCAAAUCUGUAAUAUCUGCCAAACGAUAGGGCUAUGAUCCGACAUUUCGGAGUGUUUUCAUUUCACUUGUUUGACGGUGAUCGUUCUAAUUCCAAUAGAAUUGAUUAUUCAUAUUUUCAAUAGCACAGAAAGAAAACAGUUAAAAAUGGAUGGAUGCAUUAUCGAUAUAAUUUGGAACACGCUAUUUCCCAAAUAUCUCCAUUUCAAUUUUUCAAAUUUGUUUUUGAUAUCUGGCAAUUCAUGGUUAAUACUACAAACUGUUAUAUCGGUAUAACGAUCGCUAGAUUAUACCAUACAUAAUCUAAAUAAGCCAGCACGGUAUUGAUAUUCUGUAAAAUUUCUGAAUGGAACCCGUUCAUCGAAGUGUUUGAUAUUGCAAUUGUGAAAUGAAACGUUUAAGGAAGUGUACUCUAAGUACAAACUACUGGGUAUACAGGUAAACAGGUAUACAGGUAUGCAGGUAUGUGUUACAGGACUCUAAGUAUAAACUACUGAGUAUACAGGUAUACAGGUAUGCAGGUAUACGGGUAUGCAGGUAUACAGGUAUACAGGUAUGCGUUUCAGGACUUUAAGUACAAAUGACUGGGUAUACAGGUGUACAGGUAUACAGGUAUGCAGGUAUACAGGAAUACAGGUAUGCGUUACAGGACUCUAAGUACAAAUGACUGGGUAUACGGGUAUACAGGUAUACAGGUAUGCAGGUAUACAGGUAUACAGGUAUGUGUUACAGGACUCUAAGUACAAAUGACUGGGUAUACGGGUAUACAGGUAUACAGGUAUGCAGGUAUACAGGUAUACAGGUAUACAGGUAUGCGUUACAGGACUCUAAGUACAAAUUACUGGGUAUACAGGUAUACAGGUAUACAGGUAUGCGUUUCAGGACUUUAAGUACAAACUACUGGGUAUACAGGUAUGCGUUACAGGACUCUAAGUACAAACUACUGGGUAUACAGGUAUGUGUUACAGGACUCUAAGUACAAAUUGCUGGGUAUACAGGUAUGCGAUUUAUCUAUCAAGCUACAAGUUUAGGUGAAAAUAAAGCAUAUACCAACAUACAUAUUACUAUACAACCAUUUAUAGAUUUAGAUAUCUGCUACAAGCCCCUGUGGUUUAAUCCUAAGUACACAUUUAAUUUGCAUCAUUUAUAUGCUGACAAAGGCUCGGCACGUUUGUUAGAAACAGGGGAUGUCUCUGUGUGAAGUAUGAUUGUAUGAGACCUUAUUGAUAGUUCCUAGAGUAUCUUUCAAUGUCAGUAUUCAAUAAAUGCCCUUCAAUAUUUAGACGAUAUUAGGUAAAUAAGAUAAAAGCUGUCAUCAUGUCACAUCACUACACAACAGGACCGCUUUGUUCUAAGAUGUGUUAGCUUAAUACAAAUUGGCGAAAAUGUUCAUCUAGUACAUUGUAUAUCAACAUAUAUAAAUUUACAAUUAUUAUCAAAAGUGUAUUUACAGAAAUAAGAAUAUAAUCACAAGCAUAGGUACAUGUAUGUGAUUAAAAUAAUUGUACGAGGACUAAAACAAAAUUCACCCCCAAAAGUCAUUUUCGCUAUCCACUCUGAAAAUGUCACUUCAAUCUAACAAGACUUUAGUGAUCUAGAUCCAAGUUACAAUUAUUACUUCCUUUGUUAAAUUACUACCGGGUACAUCGAUGGGAUUUCUUUGUUGUUAACCUUAAAAUUGCUUAUUUUAUCAUCGCCUGAUUAGAAUGCGUCUCACAUCGCGUAAACAAGGAAGUAGUCAGUAUUUAUUGAGGUUUAAAUUACAGGUCAAGGACAUACAUUUCUGUCCAUAACCUACGUAGUAUAAUAUGUCAUGGCGAAUAGACUUGUUUACUGUACAUGUUUCACGUCGCUUUUGGAGUUUAGUGAGUCAUGCACUCGAAUAGAUUGCUAAUAUUCAGAAACCUUUAUAAAAUGGACACAAAUUGACUAAUUCAAUUAACUAAUUUGUUCAGACUAAUUCUUGUUGCAAUUCAAAUGUUCAAAGUCCAAAUUUUAUAAUCAACAAUGUUAAUAUUUGGUGAUGCUAGACUGGCCGCUUGUCUCUAGAAUAUUGAAUUAUUCAAAAUAAAUCCAAUAAUUUUGAUCACUUUGAUGUCUGUUCCUGAGUUUUCUAACUAGGGGAAGAUAAGCUAGUAGUAAAAUGCAGCCGGUAAAUUCUUCAUAAAAACUUAGGGGCUGAUAGCCAGUCUCGGUUGAUGCAUAUAAAUACUUAUUGAUAUAUACUUCAUCAGAUUUACUUCAUAUCAAUUAAUAUUGAAGCAAUAAGAUAUGUUAAUGAUCAUUUUUAUCACAGUUGUUCUAUUUUUAGUGCGGAUAUAUUUGAUCUAAAAAGAGUUGUGGGAAAUCGUUUUCAUGGAAACGGUAAUGCAUAUAUACGCCUUGUCAUGAACUUAAAAUUUUGAAUACUUAUUAAAGGAUUUCAGAAUCAUCCCUGAAAGAACCCUAUUAACAUAAAGAUUUAACGGCAUUAACUUAAAAACCAAAAUGCCGUUCAAAUAAAUAAAUAUUUACAAAUAGACACUCUAAAUUUUGGGAAGGAGCAUAUCAGCUUUUUGUUAUCCCACAAUCCUAUCAUUUUUGGUAAAAAUAAACAUGGCUGAAUCGCCGAAACUUAAUUGUAUGCCAAAAGAAAAACUUUGAAAUUAUGAUGAUGCAAUCUGUAUUCCAACCACCUCAAGCAAGUAGGCAUAUAUUACAUAUAGGGAGACACGUCUUUAAAUGACAUUGCCUGUUAAUAGGAAGUUACCACCAAUAAAACCUAAACAGGAAUUAAAUCGUUCAUCUUCGCAUAUGCCACUGUGUUACAAAAUCCCAAUUAAUAUAGGUUUGAAAAAUCUUGAUCUGCGCAUUAACAAAACAAUUGACACAAACGCAAUGCAAUGUAAAUACAUUAUCCCCUAUAUCAAUAUAUGUUAAAAUAGUUAAAAUUCAUGUGUACUAUACGUGUGGUAUAUUUUAUACGUUUGUU
Mizuhopecten yessoensis (Yesso scallop) is the source of this 4076-nucleotide long non-coding RNA. RefSeq lists it as uncharacterized. The record is from RefSeq and is a predicted model, not a curated record. NCBI's taxonomy places the organism in Eukaryota, Metazoa, Mollusca, Bivalvia, Pectinida, Pectinidae. The transcript is spliced from 3 exons.